Molecule: small nuclear RNA, 106 nt
Organism: Neomonachus schauinslandi (Hawaiian monk seal)
Lineage: Eukaryota; Metazoa; Chordata; Mammalia; Carnivora; Phocidae
Source: RefSeq, a predicted model, not a curated record
GUUCGCUUCAGCGGCCCAUAUACUAAAACUAGAAGGAUGCAGAGAAGAUUAGCACAGCUGCCGCACAAGGACGACACAGCAAAUUGGUGAAGUGUUCCAUAUUUUU